This 5425-nucleotide long non-coding RNA is filed under the name Citrus x clementina. RNAcentral's name for it is "Citrus clementina (C. clementina) long non-coding RNA (CCLE_LNC003961)". Lineage: Eukaryota; Viridiplantae; Streptophyta; Magnoliopsida; Sapindales; Rutaceae. The record is from RNAcentral.
AAAUUUCUUACUAAAAACUUAGAGGUCCAUUAUUUUUUUUUUAUUUUAAGGUGUAGGUGUCUUUUUCAGUUUUUCUCAAUUGCAAACAGACUUACUGGUUUUUCAAUUAAUAAUCAAUUUCACUGUUGUUGUGAGCCAUGAUCUAUCAAAACUUUAGAGAAAAACAAUUCUAACAUGGAAAAGUACAGAUCAAAAAGUCUUGUACCACCUGUUAAAUAAAAUGUAUGAGGUUUUUCACUAUGCAUCUUUAAAAUAAAAAUUGACAAUUUUUGAAGUAAAAUGCUUAGAAUUACAAUGAUAGAAAAAUAUAUGCUAAGAGAAAAAAAAAAGAUAAAGAUCCAAAAUGAUUGUACAUUAGAGAGAGAAAAGUCUAAACAGAGAUUCCAAUUGAGCCUAGUUACAUGAAUUUUGGAAAGAUAUGAAUAAAUUAAAUAAUAAUUUUUUAUUUUAAUAAUAAAUAUAUUUUGAAAUAUAGAUGUAGAGAUCAAAUUGAUAGCCUCGAUUUAUUGAUAGAGUGGGUCCUACUUUGCAUGAUGAGUCUUUGAAGAGGGGGUUAAAAAAUGUGCUUCGGUUAACGUUAUCACUUUCACGUUUAGCAUGCUCCUAGAACGUGUAACAUAGUCUUCCAUACACUUGUAAAUUAGCUUUCUCUCGCUAUGAUUAGAAUAAUUCUAUUCCAAGUUGUGAACUUCUUGUAAAAUAAAAAUUGUAAAGAUAUUAUCCAAAAACAACCUUUUCUAAUUAAUUAUUUUCAUUGUUAUUUAUAUAAAAUUUCUAAAGUUAGUUUGGCAAUCAAAUGGACAAUGCCAUUAUGAAGCCGUGAGGUAUGCUGCAGUUAGGGAUGGCAAAAAUCUUCACGGAACGGGUAUCUUCAGGGAUUUUCUCUAUUCGAGAAGGGUAUGAGGAUAAUUUCAUACCCAAUUUCUUAUUUGGAGAAGGGACGGGAAAAACUUUUUAUCCAAUUUCUUAUUCGGGGAGGGGACGGGGAUGAGGUGGAAUCUCCAUCCCCUAGCCAUUUCCCCAUUUUAAUUUUUAUUUUUAUUUUUAUUUUUUAAAAUUACUAGUAAAUAAAUAAUAAAAUUUGAAUUAUAAAAUUAUAAAUAUUGGUAAAAAUAACAAAUAUCAAAAUAUUUAUAUUAUUAAAUUUUUAGGCCUAAUUAACUAAUUAAAGUCCUAAAUUUUUAUUUAGGACAUUAAAAAAACCGGAUAAAUUCUAUUAGCCCAAAAAUUUUGUUUUGAUUUUAAUAUUCAUUAAAUGUUUUAAACUUAAAUCUAUUUUUUAUUUAUUUUUAGAUGUUAUAAUUGCCCACAGCGAAUCACAAUUUUAAUAUCUAAUUUAAUCUAAUCUAAUCUAAUUUAAUCUAAUAUUUGCUCUUGAUUUGCUCCGACUUAACUAUUGUGAUGUAAAGGGAAUAGUCCACAUUUAUAAAGUGUCCACGCCACCAUUGAAAAAGUUAAUUUUGAAUCUAAAUUCGAUUUUAUUUGUAACAAUUUUGUAUUAGACUAUUAAUUUAUUCACAAUAGUUUGUAAAAGAAGUUUGUAUCCCUUACAUGCUGCGUUACUUACUAAUUUAAUGUAUGUGACUUUUGUAAUGGAUAUUAAUGUAAGAUAUAUUUCAAACUUUACUUUUAUUUGAAUUUUUUAUUUUAAUAUGAUUAACUCAAAAUCGAAAACAAAAAAUGUAUUAGUUAUUCAGGAAUCGAGGAUCCUUGGGGAUCUCCUGUUAUUAUUCGGGGAGGGGAUGAAGAUUCUCUCAAGUAAUUCUGACGAGAAUAGGGAGGGGACGAGGACAUACGCAAAAUAUCGAGAAUGGAUACGGAAAUAUUGGUCCCCUCCCCUCCCCUCCCCAUUGCCAUCCCUAGCUGCAGUGUGGGGUUGUGUGGUUCCUUCAGCUUUUCCUGGAUGUCCAAGAUGGUCCAACAGUUCUCAGUGUUACUGCUUUUUCUUCCUAUCGCCAAAUCCACAGCUUCUUGGCAAUCACAUUCAGUGAACUACUUUCUUAAAAAAAAAAAAAAGAAGAAGAAACAAAUAUCAUGCAUAUGUUAAUCUUCUGGAAGGCUUCAACGGCACAAGAAGUCUUCAGUGACCAUGACUUCUAUGCAUGAAUGGCAACACUUAUGAUAGGAUUGUUCAUUAUUGACAAUUUUUACAAUUGGACCAAUAUCUAACAAAAAUAUUCAUAGUAAAAGUUAUUACCUUAUCGGUAUUGUGUUAUAGUUUAAUGUAAUUCACCUAAUAUAACUUAAUAUAAUAAUUUAGCAAGACACUCCAACACUUACCAAAAACUAUAACCUGAUUCCUCAUUUCCUCCCAUAAUACUCGAAACUGGCCGUCAUGCAAAUGAUCCAAAAACUUUUGUCUAAAAUUUAAUUAGUAUUAAAAUUAAUAAUGAAGUUAUUUAUUGUCCACUAUGAGAUAAACAGUUUAAUAAUGUUUGCAGGUACUACUAAUAGGAAUGGUUGGCAGCUUGAUUAGAUUGUAAAAAGAAUUCAAAUAAGUUGUAGGCUUGAGGUACAAGAAUCGUAAAAGGAAUUAAUAAUAUUUUCAUUGAUUUUUUUUUAUCUUAUAAUUAGAUUAAUGGUUUGUUAUCCGGUCAUAAUAACACCCUUAGAUAAAGUUAUAUAUUUAAUUUUCACUAACAAAAUAAAUACGUAAAUAUUUUUAAAGAGUAUUUGAAGUCAAAAAUAUGCUCUCUAUAUCCCGUUUUAUUUAAAUUUUUAUUACUAAAUCAGCUUUUAGUAAAAUUACUUAAGUAGCCAUGUUCUAUUUCUUCCACAUACUUCAGCUUUCUUUUCCUUACCAGUGUAUUAUUAUCAGAAUAUCAAAUUGCAUAUAGAUUUAUGUAGUUUUCAAAUAAUAUUCUAUUUCACUAUUGUUAUGAGCAUGACCAAUCAAAACAUGAGCGAAAAGCAAUUCUAACUUGGAAAAGUUCGGAAUAAAAUAAAAAAAAUGUACCACCCAUUAAAUUUAUGAGAAUUUUCACAUGCAUCUUUAAAAUAAAAGUUGACAAUUUUUGAAAUAAAAUGUUUAGAAUUACAAUAACAGAUAAAUAUAUACCAAGAAAAAAUACGAUUGAAACGGAGAAGGAAGUUAAAUUGUUAAAGUCCGAAAUGAUUGGAAAAAUGUACUUAUCUGGCCAUUUUAAAAAACUCAUUGUCAAAAUUUAUCAUAAAAUAAAAUUUCUUGCCAUGAUAACCACAUAUACCUAAUUUUAACUGAAUUACCCUUAAAAACAAACUAAGAAUUGUUGCAAGAGGUGUUCGGUUCAUGGCCAUUGCCAGCAAGAGAUGGGUAUUUUCAACGUUGCCCGCCCUUCACUUAGGCAAUGGUCUCUAUCGUCCGCAAGAGUUAGGCAAAAGUUUUCUUAACUCUCCCAGGCUAUGGUUGGAUUUAGUUGGAUUAUUUUGAAAGUAGUUUGAUCCAAGUUGAGUGUAUGUGGCUAUUACCAGAGAAACACUUAAAAAACAGAGAUUCUAAUUGAGGCUAGUUUCAUGAUUUUUAAAAGCCAUAAAUAAAAACAAUUAUUAUUCAUUUUAACAAUGAAUAUAUUUUAAAAAAUGAGCACGGCGAUGAAAUUAGUGGAAUGAAAUAAUCUGGGUUCAAUGAAAGCAACUUUUGUUUAAAUUAUACAUAUCAUGUCUGAUUUUUCUCAAAAAAAAAAAAAAACAAAAACGAAAAAAAAAAGCCAAAAUAUCACUUUCCUGUUUAGCAUGCGUCCAGAAUCUGUAACAUGCUUUCCAUACACUUGUUAAAUUAACUCUGUCGUUGGACCAUGUAUGGUUGCAAGAAAUUCCAUCAGAUAUCGUGACCGUCUUUUAAUGCUCUAUUUGUUAUUUAGUGAACUAAUUUCUUUUUAAAAAUAAAAAUUAAAUUAAAUAUCAUGCAUGAUUAAUCUUCAGGAAGUCUUAGACCAGAAAGGAAGCCCUCAGCGACUAAGACUUGAUUAUUGGAUUGUUCAUUGUUGACGAUCUUUACAAUUAGACAAAUUUGGCUGUCAUAGACUAUUUUCUUAAUUCGUAAUUCAUCAAUUUUAUCUAAUAGACAUAUUUAUAGUAAAAUUAUUGCUCUGUUGGUACGGGGUGUACGUUGUAGUUUAUAGCAAUCCAACCUAAUAUAACUUAAUAUAAUUUAACAUGGCACUCCAAACAUAGCAAACAUUGGUUUAAAUUAUUAAUUCCUAGUUUGCAUGACCAAAAUUUUGUGCUUCUCUCGAGUCUCUGUCUCUUUGAAAUUGUAUCAUCAAUAUCUUGCAUACUUUCCCCACCCAAAAAAAAAAAAAGAUCACUUCCACGUUCAUGAGGUCCCCAAAAGGGGUGAGAUGGUUGUUGCCCUUGUAAUUGCCAAAUUAACUCUCUCUCUUUGUGGAGACCACCGUGUGUGUGUGUGUGUGUGUGUGUGUGUGUGUGUGUGUGUGUGUGUGUGUGGUGGAAGAAAUUCUAACAUAAGUGGUGAAAUUUUUUAAUGCUCUAUUUGUUAUAAUGAACUACAUUCUUUCAAAAACAAAAUAUCAAGCAUAUUUUAAUCUUCAGGAAGGCCUCAGCCAUACAUGACGUCUUCAGCGACCAUGACUUCUACACAUUAAUCGUAUCACUGGUGAUAGGAUUGUUCAGUGUUGACGAUUUUUACAAUUGGACCAAUCUGUUUCAAACAAGUGUUUUAAGACUUUAUUUUCCUAAUUUGGAAUUUAUCAAUUUUAUCAAGCACAAAUAUUUAUAGUAAAAGUUAUCGCCUUAUUGGUAUUGUGUAGGGAUGGCAAUAGGGGGGGGGGGGGGAGGGGACCAAUUUUCUCGUAUUCAUCUUCGAUAUUUUGGGUAUGUCUCCGUCCCCUCCUCGUUCCCGUCAGAAUUACUUGAGAGAAUCUUCAUCCCCUCCCCGAAUAAUAACAGGGAAUCCCCAAGGGUCUCCGAUCCCCGAAUAACUAAUACAUUUUUUGUUUUCGAUUUUGAGUUAAUCAUAUUAAAAUAAAAAAUUUAAAUAAAAGUAAAGUUUAAAAUAUAUCUUACAUUAAUAUCCAUUACAAGUCACAUACAUUAAAUUAGUAAGAAACGCAGCAUGUAAGAGAUACAAACUUCUUUUACAAACUAUCAUGAAUAAAUUAAUAGUCAAAUACAAAAUUGUUACAAAUAAAAUCGAAUUUAGAUUCAAAAUUAACUUUUUCAAUGGUGGCGUGGGCACUUUAUAAAUAUGGACCAUUUCCUUUACAGCACAAUAGUUAAGUCGGAGCAAAUCAAGAGCAAAUAUUAGAUUAGAUUAGAUUAGAUAUUAAAAUUAUGAUUCGAUGUGGACAAUUAUAACAUCUAAAAAUAAAUAAAAAAUAGAUUUAAGUUUAAAACAUUUAAUGAAUAUUAAAAUAAAAACAAAUUUUUUGGGCUAAUAGAAUUUACCCGGUUUUUUUAAUGUCCUAAAUAAAAAUUUAGGACUUUA